Molecule: ribosomal RNA, 252 nt
Filed under: uncultured bacterium
Lineage: Bacteria
Description: partial 16S ribosomal RNA
Rfam family: Bacterial small subunit ribosomal RNA
Source: RNAcentral
UACGAAGGGGGCUAGCGUUGCUCGGAAUCACUGGGCGUAAAGCGCACGUAGGCGGACUCUUAAGUCGGUGGUGAAAUCCUGGAGCUCAACUCCAGAACUGCCUUCGAUACUGAGAGUCUCGAGUCCGAGAGAGGUGAGUGGAACUGCGAGUGUAGAGGUGAAAUUCGUAGAUAUUCGCAAGAACACCAGUGGCGAAGGCGGCUCACUGGCUCGGUACUGACGCUGAGGUGCGAAAGCGUGGGUAGCAACAGG